GACUGCGAAUGGCUCAUUAUAUAAGUUAUCGUAUAUUUGAUAGUGCCUUACUACAUGGAUAACCGUGGUAAUUCUAGAGCUAAUACAUGCUAAAAAUCCCGACUUCGGAAGGGAUGUAUUUAUUAGAUUAAAAACCAAUGCCCCUCGGGGCUCCUUGGUGAUUCAUGAUAACUCCUCGAAUCGCACGGCCUUGCGCCGGCGAUGGUUCAUUCAAAUUUCUUCCCUAUCAACUUUCGAUGUUUGGGUCUUGGCCAAACAUGGUUGCAACGGGUAACGGAGGGUUAGGGCUCGACCCCGGAGAAGGAGCCUGAGAAACGGCUACUACAUCCAAGGAAGGCAGCAGGCGCGCAAAUUACCCAAUCCCGACACGGGGAGGUAGUGACAAUAAAUACUGAUACAGGGCUCUUUCGGGUCUUGUAAUUGGAAUGAGUACAAUUUAAAUCCCUUAACGAGGAACAAUUGGAGGGCAAGUCUGGUGCCAGCAGCCGCGGUAAUUCCAGCUCCAAUAGCGUAUAUUAAAGUUGUUGUGGUUAAAAAGCUCGUAGUUGAACCUUGGGCCUGGCUGGCCGGUCCGCCUCACCGCGUGUACUGGUCCGGCCGGGUCUUUCCCUCUGUGGAACCCCAUGCCCUUCACUGGGUGUGGCGGGGAAACAGGACUUUUACUUUGAAAAAAUUAGAGUGCUCCAGGCAGGCCAAUGCUCGAAUACAUUAGCAUGGAAUAAUAGAAUAGGACUGUGGUUCUAUUUUGUUGGUUUCUAGGACCGCCGUAAUGAUUAAUAGGGACAGUCGGGGGCAUCAGUAUUCAAUAGUCAGAGGUGAAAUUCUUGGAUUUAUUGAAGACUAACUACUGCGAAAGCAUUUGCCAAGGAUGUUUUCAUUAAUCAGGAACGAAAGUUAGGGGAUCGAAGACGAUCAGAUACCGUCGUAGUCUUAACCAUAAACUAUGCCGACUAGGGAUCGGGCGAUGUUAUUUUUUGACUCGUUCGGCACCUUACGAGAAAUCAAAGUGCUUGGGCUCCAGGGG
RNAcentral lists this ribosomal RNA (1024 nucleotides) under Penicillifer diparietisporus. Its description in RNAcentral is "SSU rRNA". It matches the Rfam family "Eukaryotic small subunit ribosomal RNA", at positions 85 to 1120 of the family's 1831-position model. Lineage: Eukaryota; Fungi; Ascomycota; Sordariomycetes; Hypocreales; Nectriaceae. The record is from RNAcentral.